UACGUAGGGGGCUAGCGUUGUCCGGAUUUAUUGGGCGUAAAGAGCGUGUAGGCGGCCGGGUAGGUCUGCUGUGAAAACUCGAGGCUCAACCUCGAGACGUCGGCGGAAACCAUCUGGCUAGAGUCCGGAAGAGGAGAGUGGAAUUCCUGGUGUAGCGGUGAAAUGCGCAGAUAUCAGGAAGAACACCCGUGGCGAAGGCGGCUCUCUGGGACGGUACUGACGCUGAGACGCGAAAGCGUGGGGAGCGAACAGG
This 253-nucleotide ribosomal RNA is filed under the name uncultured bacterium. RNAcentral describes it as "partial 16S ribosomal RNA". It matches the Rfam family "Bacterial small subunit ribosomal RNA", at positions 524 to 776 of the family's 1533-position model. The record is from RNAcentral.